UUGGAGGGCAAGUCUGGUGCCAGCAGCCGCGGUAAUUCCAGCUCCAAUAGCGUAUAUUAAAGUUGUUGCAGUUAAAAAGCUCGUAGUUGAAUUUCGGGGUUAGUAGGUUGGUCAUGCCUCUGGUAUGUACUGGUCUCACUGAUUCCUCCUUCCUUAUGAACCGUAAUGCCAUUAAUUUGGUGUUGCGGGGAAUUCGGACUGUUACUUUGAAAAAAUUAGAGUGUUUAAAGCAGGCUAACGCUUGAAUACAUUAGCAUGGAAUAAUGAAAUAGGACGUUCGAUCUUAUUUUGUUGGUUUCUAGGAUUGACGUAAUGAUUAAUAGGGAUAGUUGGGGGCAUUAGUAUUCAAUUGUCAGAGGUGAAAUUCUUGGAUUUAUUGAAGACUAACUACUGCGAAAGCAUUUGCCAAGGAUGUUUUCAUUAAUCAAGAACGAAAGUUAGGGGAUCGAAGACGAUCAGAUACCGUCGUAGUCUUAACCAUAAACUAUGCCGACUAGGGAUCGGAUGAUGUUAAUUUUUUAAUGACUCAUUCGGCGCCUUACGGGAAAC
RNAcentral lists this ribosomal RNA (549 nucleotides) under uncultured Glomus. Its description in RNAcentral is "SSU rRNA". It matches the Rfam family "Eukaryotic small subunit ribosomal RNA", at positions 548 to 1098 of the family's 1831-position model. The record is from RNAcentral. Lineage: Eukaryota; Fungi; Glomeromycota; Glomeromycetes; Glomerales; Glomeraceae.